RNAcentral lists this ribosomal RNA (252 nucleotides) under uncultured bacterium. RNAcentral's name for it is "partial 16S ribosomal RNA". It matches the Rfam family "Bacterial small subunit ribosomal RNA", at positions 524 to 776 of the family's 1533-position model. The record is from RNAcentral.
UACGUAGAUCCCGAGCGUUGUCCGGAUUUAUUGGGCGUAAAGCGAGCGCAGGUGGUUUAUUAAGUCUGGUGUAAAAGGCAGUGGCUCAACCAUUGUAUGCAUUGGAAACUGGUAGACUUGAGUGCAGGAGAGGAGAGUGGAAUUCCAUGUGUAGCGGUGAGAUGCGUAGAUAUAUGGAGGAACACCGGUGGCGAAAGCGGCUCUCUGGCCUGUAACUGACACUGAGGCUCGAAAGCGUGGGGAGCAAACAGG